This 301-nucleotide ribosomal RNA is filed under the name uncultured bacterium. RNAcentral's name for it is "partial 16S ribosomal RNA". It matches the Rfam family "Bacterial small subunit ribosomal RNA", at positions 509 to 807 of the family's 1533-position model. The record is from RNAcentral.
CAGUAGCCGCGGUAAUACGUAGGUGGCAAGCGUUGUCCGGAAUUAUUGGGCGUAAAGGGCGCGUAGGCGGACAGUUCAGUCGGGGGUGAAAGCCCGGGGCUCAACCUCGGAAUUGCCUUCGAUACUGGCUGUCUUGAGUAUGAGAGAGGUGUGUGGAACUCCGAGUGUAGAGGUGAAAUUCGUAGAUAUUCGGAAGAACACCAGUGGCGAAGGCGACACACUGGCUCAUUACUGACGCUGAGGCGCGAAAGCGUGGGGAGCAAACAGGAUUAGAUACCCCAGUAGUCCCUGUCUCUUAUAC